ACGCACGCUGGCGGCGUGCUUCACACAUGCCAGUCGCACGCUGAAGGCCUGGCUUUUGUUGGGUUGGAUGAGUGGCGAACGGGUGAGUAACACGUGAGUAACCUGCCCUCUUCUUUGGGAUAACGCCCGGAAACGGGUGCUAAUACUGGAUAUUCACUGAUCUUCGCAUGGGGGUUGGUGGAAAGGUUUGUUCUGGUGGGGGAUGGGCUCGCGGCCUAUCAGCUUGUUGGUGGGGUGAUGGCCUACCAAGGCUUUGACGGGUAGCCGGCCUGAGAGGGUGACCGGUCACAUUGGGACUGAGAUACGGCCCAGACUCCUACGGGAGGCAGCAGUGGGGAAUAUUGCACAAUGGGCGAAAGCCUGAUGCAGCGACGCCGCGUGAGGGAUGGAGGCCUUCGGGUUGUAAACCUCUUUCGCUCAUGGUCAAGCCGCAACUGUGGGUUGUGGUGAGGGUAGUGGGUAAAGAAGCGCCGGCUAACUACGUG
RNAcentral lists this ribosomal RNA (485 nucleotides) under uncultured bacterium. Its description in RNAcentral is "partial 16S ribosomal RNA". It matches the Rfam family "Bacterial small subunit ribosomal RNA", at positions 29 to 507 of the family's 1533-position model. The record is from RNAcentral.